ACUCAAAUGAAUUGACGGGGGACCGCACAAGCAGCGGAGCGUGUGGUUUAAUUCGAGGCUACACGAAGAACCUUACCUAGGUUUGACAUCGUAACGAAGUCGCCAUGAAAGUGGUGAUGUCCCGCAAGGGACGUUAUGACAGGUGCUGCAUGGCUGUCGUCAGCUCGUGCCGUGAGGUGUUCGGUUAAGUCCGCAAACGAGCGCAACCCUCGGUGCCAGUUACAAGUGUCUGGCGCGACUGCCCGUGGCAAACGGGAGGAAGGUGGGGAUGACGUCAAGUCAGCAUGGCCUUUAUAUCUAGGGCUACACACACGCUACAAUGGCGCGUACAAUGGGUCGCGAACCCGCGAGGGGGAGCCAAUCCUAAAAAGCGCGUCUCAGUUCAGAUCGUAGGCUGCAACCCGCCUGCGUGAAGUUGGAGUUGCUAGUAACCGCGCGUCAGCAGAGUGCGGUGAAUACGUUCCCGGUCCUUGCACACACCGCCCGU
This 487-nucleotide ribosomal RNA is filed under the name uncultured bacterium. RNAcentral describes it as "partial 16S ribosomal RNA". It matches the Rfam family "Bacterial small subunit ribosomal RNA", at positions 899 to 1397 of the family's 1533-position model. The record is from RNAcentral.